Non-coding RNA from Caenorhabditis elegans, 150 nucleotides. The record is from Ensembl. Lineage: Eukaryota; Metazoa; Nematoda; Chromadorea; Rhabditida; Rhabditidae.
GUUAGGCAACAAAACAACCAGACUAUGAAUGUAUUUGAGCAUAAACACAACGUUUUCACAAUUUCCCAUUCAAUUGGAAUGUUUUUCCAUCUAUAAUGGAAUGUGAAGCUGUAACAAAACAUAACUACACCAAACAGUGUUCAAUUUCUA